ACAAACUAUUAUAUGAUAUAUCUAAAACUUUAUUAAAAUUGAAUAAACAAUUAUUUCAUAAUAAAUAUUAUAUCUAAACUAAACACAUGGUUAAUAGUAUAUAUCCCAACAAUCUCCCACUUAGACUUUUAACCAUAAUAAUUAUUAGAAUAUACUAUAUCCAAAUACAUGAUUAAUAGUAUAUGACCCAACAAAAAGUCCCAAUGAUUGGUCUAUAGGACCACGACAGAGAUCCAAACAAAGAAGUUCGAUGCCGACCCCGAACUCAGCUUUUGGAGCUGCUACUUUUUUGCUUUUUUUAGCUAGAUUUCGGACUCAAAUGGUGAUGUUUUGGAGGUUAUUCGACUGAAUUCUUGGUGGUGAAGGAAGCUGGUAUACUAUUGGUUUUAAUGGAGUUGGGUAGUGGCGUCGCCGGUGUUAGCCCGCCAGCAAGAUCUGAAAGCUCCCAUCGUCAUCAAAAUCUCCGACGAAGUGACAUGACGGGCUUC
This 488-nucleotide long non-coding RNA is filed under the name Nicotiana benthamiana. Its description in RNAcentral is "long non-coding RNA (NBEN_LNC033125)". The record is from RNAcentral. Lineage: Eukaryota; Viridiplantae; Streptophyta; Magnoliopsida; Solanales; Solanaceae.